UGUUUGUGGACAACUGGGGAAAUGUGCUGUGGACUACAUGUCAGGUGCUAGCGUCCUGCCGCUAUGAUGUUAGUUCCUCGUGUGGCUGUCAUACUGUCAUUAUACAGGGUAAUCCUUUUGUUCUUGGGAGACAAAGGCUGAAGUGUCUAUAGAUAAAAUGAUACUGAGUGAUUCAGCAAGAAAGUAAGACGUGUUGAGAGAAAGAAAGCAAGGACAACAUCUCAUUAAUGAGUUAAGGGGACAGUAUCUGAUAUUCAUUUUAUUCCUUCUAACUCUCCUAUAGGAUUGGAAAUAUUUGUGCUAAAAUUUGUGGCUCCUCUUUUUUUUUUUUUUUUUUUUAUUGUUUUAGAGCUUUAUUGUAGAAAGACAGAGAGAAAGAGAGAAGGUAGAAAGAGGGAGACUGGCCAUGGCCACGUGGAGAGAGGGGGAAGGGAGGGAGAGAAGGAGAGCUAGAGAUGAGAAAGGUGAGAGCUUAAGAGCAAGUUUGUGGCUCUUAAGCAUGUGUUGGUACGUGUGUGCUCUAAGUCCCUUCUGCAGCAGCGGCUCCUCUUCCAGUAUCUCCAGUGUAACUGUGGUUAGUUAUGCCUGCAGAUGGCAGUGGGCGCUUCAGAACAACAGGGUGACUACACCCUUACCUGUAAUACCCAGCAUUUUAGUUUCUAGAUUUUCAUGAUACCAUUGUACUAUUUAAGUAAUGGAUAAAUUGGGUUGUGUAGAUCACAGCUGUAAUACUGGUAUCAAGGAGACAGAGGCUGGGAGUCUCUGACUUGAAGGACUAUAUGGUGAGACUCUGCAGCAAAAC
Molecule: long non-coding RNA, 802 nt
Filed under: Mus musculus (house mouse)
Lineage: Eukaryota; Metazoa; Chordata; Mammalia; Rodentia; Muridae
Description: long non-coding RNA chr19:46426854-46427656
Source: RNAcentral